Molecule: ribosomal RNA, 317 nt
Filed under: uncultured eukaryote
Lineage: Eukaryota
Description: partial 18S ribosomal RNA
Rfam family: Eukaryotic small subunit ribosomal RNA
Source: RNAcentral
CCCUUAGAUGUUCUGGGCCGCACGCGCGCUACACUGAUCGGUGCAACAAGCAUCCGUCCUUGGCCGACAGGCCCGGGCAAUCUUUGAGCGCCGGUCGUGAUGGGGAUAGACCUUUGCAAUUUUUGGUCUUCAACGAGGAAUUCCUAGUAAACGCAAGUCAUCAACUUGCAUUGAUUACGUCCCUGCCCUUUGUACACACCGCCCGUCGCACCUACCGAUUGAAUGGUCCGGUGAAACCUCCGGAUUGGCGCGUGCCCUCGGGCGCCGCCGAGAAGUUGGUUAAACCUUACCAUUUAGAGGAAGGUGAAGUCGUAACA